CUUUAAAUGAGGACUAGUAUGAACGGCUUCACGAAUGCUAUACUGUCUCCUUUGUCCAAUCAGUUAAACUAAUCUCCCCGUGAAGAAGCGGGGAUUCACUUAUAAGACGAGAAGACCCUAUGGAGCUUUAAACACUCUUAAACAUUUGAACCCUUUAUUACUCACCUCCAGAAAACUUCACUAAACUACUCAUUUUGUUUAAACUUUUAGGUUGGGGCGACCACGGAGAAUAACCUAACCUCCACGUGGAAAGAAACUUAAUUCUAAGCAAAAAGCCACAUCUUUAUGCAUCAAUAAUAUUGACCUA
RNAcentral lists this ribosomal RNA (307 nucleotides) under Allobates fuscellus. RNAcentral describes it as "partial large subunit ribosomal RNA". The record is from RNAcentral. Lineage: Eukaryota; Metazoa; Chordata; Amphibia; Anura; Aromobatidae.